AUGCAGUUAAGAAAACACUUGUUUUUGCUGCUCUUUUUGAAGCUCGUUUUGAUAUUUAUUUGCAGCUCGUUGAAUUUCAUUUUGCUGUUCACUGUCAGAUCCAUGGCGCUGGCCGUGCUUUCUCCUACUGCUCUGUGUGAGGUGAGGAUGGGUUCUCUGUUGGCAAGUUCAUUGCGGGACUCCAUGGCGCUGGUCGCGCUGCUCCUUUUCUUGUUGCUAUGUCUGAGGCGAGGACGGGCUCUGCCGCACCGGGAACCAGGGUGUUCGCGACACCGGCGAAGACGGCGUGGUGGUUCCCUUCUUCCCCAACAACAGAAGUUGCGGUGUGGCUAUGCAAUUGUUGAAGUUCAGGAAUAUGUUUGGUGUCUUUUCAGAUUUCGUUUGGGCGCAACACUGCAGUUCGCAUGGGUCUUCACAACGGUGCGGAUGGGUGUGCAGUAG
Molecule: ribosomal RNA, 441 nt
Filed under: Triticum aestivum (bread wheat)
Lineage: Eukaryota; Viridiplantae; Streptophyta; Magnoliopsida; Poales; Poaceae
Description: partial small subunit ribosomal RNA
Source: RNAcentral